Molecule: long non-coding RNA, 234 nt
Organism: Austrofundulus limnaeus
Lineage: Eukaryota; Metazoa; Chordata; Actinopteri; Cyprinodontiformes; Rivulidae
Exons: 2
Source: RefSeq, a predicted model, not a curated record
GUUGUUUUUGCGGACGGAGGAAGUCCUGCUCGGUGUUCCUUCAGCUGGUGAAGAAGAACCUGUUAGUGUUUGUUUAUAAUGUCGGUUCACCUGAAGGACAGAGAGGCUUUCCAGAGACUGAACUAUCUUUACCAGGCUGCUCAUUGUGUCUUGGCUCAGAACCCGAACAAUGUGGAGCUGGCCCGGUUCUACUGCUUCACACAGAAAACCAUCGCCAGACGGCUGGUCCUGAGA